AAUCUUAUAACAUAAGAUAUUAUGCUAAGAUAUACCGUUGGAGAGGCUCUUAGAAACUAGAGGUAAAUGUUUUGUUUCAAAAGUAUAUAUGAAUAAAUCAUAUAAAAAACUGAAUAGAAUAUACACACAUAGGACAACUCUAGCAUGACGGCGGAUUUAUUAAAACACUAUAACUAUUAACUU
This 183-nucleotide small RNA is filed under the name Arabidopsis thaliana (thale cress). Its description in RNAcentral is "ATSL261480". Lineage: Eukaryota; Viridiplantae; Streptophyta; Magnoliopsida; Brassicales; Brassicaceae. The record is from RNAcentral.